This 114-nucleotide ribosomal RNA is filed under the name Coriobacteriia bacterium. The record is from RNAcentral. Lineage: Bacteria; Bacillati; Actinomycetota; Coriobacteriia.
GAGCGCGACCACGGAGGCAGGGAUCACCCGAUUCCAUUCCGAACUCGGCAGUUAAGCCUGCCAUCGCCGAAAGUACUGCGGUGCAGUCCGUGGGAGGAUAGGACGUCGUGCUCA